UAGGGUUUGAUCAUGGCUCAGAACGUANGCGGCGGCACGCCUAAUACAUGCAAGUCGAACGAAGUAGCAAUACUUAGUGGCGAACGGGUGAGUAUAAUGUGGGUAUCUGCCUUUUGGUGAGGAAUAACAUGGGGAAACUUGUGCUAAUACCUCAUAAGCCUUCACAGGGAAAGUUUUAACGCCAAAAGAUGAGCCCGCACUUGAUUAGCUAGUUGGUAAGGUAAAAGCUUACCAAGGCUACGAUCAAUAGCUGAUCUGAGAGGAUGAUCAGCCACAUUGGGACUGAGACACGGCCCAAACUCCUACGGGAGGCAGCAGUAGGGAAUCUUGCACAAUGGGGGAAACCCUGAUGCAGCGAUGCCGCGUGAGUGAAGAAGGCCUUUGGGUUGUAAAGCUCUUUCGUCGGGGAAGAAAAUGACUGUACCCGAAUAAGAAGGUCCGGCUAACUUCGUGCCAGCAGCCGCGGUAAUACGAAGGGACCUAGCGUAGUUCGGAAUUACUGGGCUUAAAGAGCUCGUAGGUGGUUAGAAAAGUUGGUGGUGAAAUCCCAAGGCUUAACCUUGGAACUGCCAUCAAAACUUUUUGACUAGAGUAUGAUAGAGGAAAGUGGAAUUUCUAGUGUAGAGGUGAAAUUCGUAGAUAU
Molecule: ribosomal RNA, 643 nt
Filed under: uncultured bacterium
Lineage: Bacteria
Description: bacterial SSU rRNA
Rfam family: Bacterial small subunit ribosomal RNA
Source: RNAcentral